GAUGAACGCUGGCGGCGCGCCUAACACAUGCAAGUCGAACGAUUAAAGCACCUUCGGGUGUGUAUAAAGUGGCGAACGGCUGAGUAACACGUGGGCAACCUGCCCCUCUCAUUGGGAUAGCCACGGGAAACCGCGGAUAAUACCGAAUACUUCGAGACUUCCGCAUGAAAGACUCGAGAAAGCUCCGGCGGAGAGGGAUGGGCCCGCGGCCUGUUAGCUUGUUGGUGGGGUAACGGCCUACCAAGGCAAUGAUGGGUAGCUGGGUUGAGAGACCGACCAGCCAGAUUGGGACUGAGACACGGCCCAGACUCCUACGGGAGGCAGCAGUGGGGAAUCUUGCACAAUGGGCGAAAGCCUGAUGCAGCGACGCCGCGUGCGGGAUGAAGGCCUUCGGGCUGUAAACCGCUUUCAGCAGGGACGAGGCGAAAGUGACGGUACCUGCAGAAGAAGCCCCGGCUAACUACGUGCCAGCAGCCGCGGUAAUACGUAGGGGGCAAGCGUUAUCCGGAUUCAUUGGGCGUAAAGCGCUCGUAGGCGGUCUGUUAGGUCGGGAGUUAAAUCCGGGGGCUCAACCCCCGUUCGCUCCCGAUACCGGCAGACUUGAGUUUGGUAGGGGAAGGUGGAAUUCCUAGUGUAGCGGUGGAAUGCGCAGAUAUUAGGAAGAACACCAGUGGCGAAGGCGGCCUUCUGGGCCAUAACUGACGCUGAGGAGCGAAAGCUAGGGGAGCAAACAGG
Molecule: ribosomal RNA, 735 nt
Filed under: uncultured Atopobium sp.
Lineage: Bacteria; Bacillati; Actinomycetota; Coriobacteriia; Coriobacteriales; Atopobiaceae
Description: bacterial SSU rRNA
Rfam family: Bacterial small subunit ribosomal RNA
Source: RNAcentral